This is a ribosomal RNA of 2875 nucleotides. It matches the Rfam family "Bacterial large subunit ribosomal RNA".
AUGAAGGACGUUACUAACGACGAUAUGCUUUGGGGAGCUGUAAGUAAGCUUUGAUCCAGAGAUUUCCGAAUGGGGAAACCCAGCAUGAGUUAUGUCAUGUUAUCGAUAUGUGAAUACAUAGCAUAUCAGAAGGCACACCCGGAGAACUGAAACAUCUUAGUACCCGGAGGAAGAGAAAGAAAAUUCGAUUCCCUUAGUAGCGGCGAGCGAAACGGGAAGAGCCCAAACCAACAAGCUUGCUUGUUGGGGUUGUAGGACACUCUAUACGGAGUUACAAAGGACGACAUUAGACGAAUCAUCUGGAAAGAUGAAUCAAAGAAGGUAAUAAUCCUGUAGUCGAAAAUGUUGUCUCUCUUGAGUGGAUCCUGAGUACGACGGAGCACGUGAAAUUCCGUCGGAAUCUGGGAGGACCAUCUCCUAAGGCUAAAUACUCUCUAGUGACCGAUAGUGAACCAGUACCGUGAGGGAAAGGUGAAAAGCACCCCGGAAGGGGAGUGAAAUAGAACCUGAAACCGUGUGCUUACAAGUAGUCAGAGCCCGUUAAUGGGUGAUGGCGUGCCUUUUGUAGAAUGAACCGGCGAGUUACGAUUUGAUGCAAGGUUAAGCAGUAAAUGUGGAGCCGUAGCGAAAGCGAGUCUGAAUAGGGCGUUUAGUAUUUGGUCGUAGACCCGAAACCAGGUGAUCUACCCUUGGUCAGGUUGAAGUUCAGGUAACACUGAAUGGAGGACCGAACCGACUUACGUUGAAAAGUGAGCGGAUGAACUGAGGGUAGCGGAGAAAUUCCAAUCGAACCUGGAGAUAGCUGGUUCUCUCCGAAAUAGCUUUAGGGCUAGCCUCAAGUGAUGAUUAUUGGAGGUAGAGCACUGUUUGGACGAGGGGCCCCUCUCGGGUUACCGAAUUCAGACAAACUCCGAAUGCCAAUUAAUUUAACUUGGGAGUCAGAACAUGGGUGAUAAGGUCCGUGUUCGAAAGGGAAACAGCCCAGACCACCAGCUAAGGUCCCAAAAUAUAUGUUAAGUGGAAAAGGAUGUGGCGUUGCCCAGACAACUAGGAUGUUGGCUUAGAAGCAGCCAUCAUUUAAAGAGUGCGUAAUAGCUCACUAGUCGAGUGACACUGCGCCGAAAAUGUACCGGGGCUAAACAUAUUACCGAAGCUGUGGAUUGUCCUUUGGACAAUGGUAGGAGAGCGUUCUAAGGGCGUUGAAGCAUGAUCGUAAGGACAUGUGGAGCGCUUAGAAGUGAGAAUGCCGGUGUGAGUAGCGAAAGACGGGUGAGAAUCCCGUCCACCGAUUGACUAAGGUUUCCAGAGGAAGGCUCGUCCGCUCUGGGUUAGUCGGGUCCUAAGCUGAGGCCGACAGGCGUAGGCGAUGGAUAACAGGUUGAUAUUCCUGUACCACCUAUAAUCGUUUUAAUCGAUGGGGGGACGCAGUAGGAUAGGCGAAGCGUGCGAUUGGAUUGCACGUCUAAGCAGUAAGGCUGAGUAUUAGGCAAAUCCGGUACUCGUUAAGGCUGAGCUGUGAUGGGGAGAAGACAUUGUGUCUUCGAGUCGUUGAUUUCACACUGCCGAGAAAAGCCUCUAGAUAGAAAAUAGGUGCCCGUACCGCAAACCGACACAGGUAGUCAAGAUGAGAAUUCUAAGGUGAGCGAGCGAACUCUCGUUAAGGAACUCGGCAAAAUGACCCCGUAACUUCGGGAGAAGGGGUGCUCUUUAGGGUUAACGCCCAGAAGAGCCGCAGUGAAUAGGCCCAAGCGACUGUUUAUCAAAAACACAGGUCUCUGCUAAACCGUAAGGUGAUGUAUAGGGGCUGACGCCUGCCCGGUGCUGGAAGGUUAAGAGGAGUGGUUAGCUUCUGCGAAGCUACGAAUCGAAGCCCCAGUAAACGGCGGCCGUAACUAUAACGGUCCUAAGGUAGCGAAAUUCCUUGUCGGGUAAGUUCCGACCCGCACGAAAGGCGUAACGAUUUGGGCACUGUCUCAACGAGAGACUCGGUGAAAUCAUAGUACCUGUGAAGAUGCAGGUUACCCGCGACAGGACGGAAAGACCCCGUGGAGCUUUACUGUAGCCUGAUAUUGAAAUUCGGCACAGCUUGUACAGGAUAGGUAGGAGCCUUUGAAACGUGAGCGCUAGCUUACGUGGAGGCGCUGGUGGGAUACUACCCUAGCUGUGUUGGCUUUCUAACCCGCACCACUUAUCGUGGUGGGAGACAGUGUCAGGCGGGCAGUUUGACUGGGGCGGUCGCCUCCUAAAAGGUAACGGAGGCGCUCAAAGGUUCCCUCAGAAUGGUUGGAAAUCAUUCAUAGAGUGUAAAGGCAUAAGGGAGCUUGACUGCGAGACCUACAAGUCGAGCAGGGUCGAAAGACGGACUUAGUGAUCCGGUGGUUCCGCAUGGAAGGGCCAUCGCUCAACGGAUAAAAGCUACCCCGGGGAUAACAGGCUUAUCUCCCCCAAGAGUUCACAUCGACGGGGAGGUUUGGCACCUCGAUGUCGGCUCAUCGCAUCCUGGGGCUGUAGUCGGUCCCAAGGGUUGGGCUGUUCGCCCAUUAAAGCGGUACGCGAGCUGGGUUCAGAACGUCGUGAGACAGUUCGGUCCCUAUCCGUCGUGGGCGUAGGAAAUUUGAGAGGAGCUGUCCUUAGUACGAGAGGACCGGGAUGGACAUACCUCUGGUGUACCAGUUGUCGUGCCAACGGCCUAGCUGGGUAGCUAUGUGUGGACGGGAUAAGUGCUGAAAGCAUCUAAGCAUGAAGCCCCCCUCAAGAUGAGAUUUCCCAACUUCGGUUAUAAGAUCCCUCAAAGAUGAUGAGGUUAAUAGGUUCGAGGUGGAAGCAUGGUGACAUGUGGAGCUGACGAAUACUAAUCGAUCGAAGACUUAAUCAA